RNAcentral lists this ribosomal RNA (468 nucleotides) under uncultured bacterium. Its description in RNAcentral is "partial 16S ribosomal RNA". It matches the Rfam family "Bacterial small subunit ribosomal RNA", at positions 28 to 507 of the family's 1533-position model. The record is from RNAcentral.
GACGAACGCUGGCGGCGUGCUUAACACAUGCAAGUCGAACGGAAAGGCCCUGCUUUUGUGGGGUGCUCGAGUGGCGAACGGGUGAGUAACACGUGAGUAACCUGCCCUUGACUUUGGGAUAACUUCAGGAAACUGGGGCUACUACCGGAUAGGAGCUCCUGCUGCAUGGUGGGGGUUGGAAAGUUUCGGCGGUUGGGGAUGGACUCGCGGCUUAUCAGCUUGUUGGUGGGGUAGUGGCUUACCAAGGCUUUGACGGGUAGCCGGCCUGAGAGGGUGACCGGCCACAUUGGGACUGAGAUACGGCCCAGACUCCUACGGGAGGCAGCAGUGGGGAAUAUUGCACAAUGGGCGGAAGCCUGAUGCAGAAACGCCGCGUGCGGGAUGACGGCCUUCGGGUUGUAAACCGCUUUCGCCUGUGACGAAGCGUGAGUGACGGUAAUGGGUAAAGAAGCACCGGCUAACUACGUG